Molecule: ribosomal RNA, 549 nt
Filed under: uncultured bacterium
Lineage: Bacteria
Description: partial 16S ribosomal RNA
Rfam family: Bacterial small subunit ribosomal RNA
Source: RNAcentral
UAGGGAAUCUUCGGCAAUGGACGAAAGUCUGACCGAGCAACGCCGCGUGAGUGAAGAAGGUUUUCGGAUCGUAAAACUCUGUUGGUAGAGAAGAACGUUGGUGAGAGUGGAAAGCUCAUCAAGUGACGGUAACUACCCAGAAAGGGACGGCUAACUACGUGCCAGCAGCCGCGGUAAUACGUAGGUCCCGAGCGUUGUCCGGAUUUAUUGGGCGUAAAGCGAGCGCAGGUGGUUUAUUAAGUCUGGUGUAAAAGGCAGUGGCUCAACCAUUGUAUGCAUUGGAAACUGGUAGACUUGAGUGCAGGGAGAGAGUAGUGAAUUCCAUGUGUAGCGGUGAAAUGCGUAGAUAUAUGGAGGAACACCGGGGGCGAAAGCGGCUCUCUGGCCUGUAACUGACACUGAGGCUCNAAAGCGUGGGGAGCAAACAGGAUUAGAUACCCUGGUAGUCCACGCCGUAAACGAUGAGUGCUAGAUGUAGGGAGCUAUAAGUUCUCUGUAUCGCAGCUAACGCAAUAAGCACUCCGCCUGGGGGAGUACGACUGCAAGGUU